This is a long non-coding RNA of Anoplopoma fimbria (sablefish), 1108 nucleotides long. RefSeq lists it as uncharacterized. The record is from RefSeq and is a predicted model, not a curated record. Lineage: Eukaryota; Metazoa; Chordata; Actinopteri; Perciformes; Anoplopomatidae. The transcript has 3 exons.
UGAAGCAGCGGCGUCCUACCGCCAUUAAAGCCGCAGAAGAAGAACAGCCGCGUUGUGAGGCUCCGGUGUAAACAAACCGACUGAACCGGUUACCGGCUGUCACCGCGGGGCCCAGGAGGCGAUGGACGGAGUCUACUCUGUGGUGCUGCUGGCUGUCGUGGUCUUGUCCUGGUCCUACGUGAUCUACGCCAGCAGGGUCGCAGCUCAUUGGCUGCUGGAGGAGAGGACCGCCCUCCUGCAGCAGCACUGACAGCUCAUUGGACGGCCGACACAGACUGAAAGACUUGACCAGUAGAGACCAUCAGAGACCAUCAGAGACCAUUAUAGACGGACCUCCUGGACCACGUUGUGGAGACACGUCAGGACUGAACCUGGACUUUAAAAGCUUGGACGAGUCUGAACGGAAAGAUGAGGACAAUAACUAUUUAUCUUUAUUUGGAAAGAUUUGAACUCACUUUCGCUGAUUCAAUACUUUCAGUCUCAUGUGUGUAAUACGUUUUAUUUAUUGAAUAUGUAUAAAUGUUAUUUAUUGAAUAUGUAAAAAAGCACUAGAGCUCAAAAGAUCAAUCGAUCCAUCAUCCAACAAACAUAAACUAUUUUCACAAUAGAGUGGUCGAUGUUUUUUUACUAUUUUAUUGAUUUAAUAAAGACAUUAAGUAACAAACUUCCCUCAUCAGCUCUGGACAGAAGCACGCUAACUGUUUCCCUCUGUUUACAGUCUUUAUGCUAAGCUAAGCUAGCUGUUUCCCUCUGUUUCCUGUCUUUAUGCUAAGCUAAGAUAGCUGUUUCCCUCUGUUUAGUCUUUAUGCUAAGCUAAGCUAGCUGUUUCCCUCUGUUUCCUGUCUUUAUGCUAAGCUAAGAUAGCUGUUUCCCUCUGUUUAGUCUUUAUGCUAAGCUAAGAUAGCUGUUUCCCUCUGUUUAGUCUUUAUGCUAAGCUAAGUUAGCUGUUUCCCUCUGUUUACAGUCUUUAUGCUAAGCUAACCAAACCAACUGCUGUAGAGAGACACAAGUGAAUCAAUGUAAACGUUUGACUUGAAGAGAAUAAAAUGUAUUUCUUUAUAAAUGUCAUCAUGUCUUAUUAAACCAGGAGAUCCUCCUGUUGUGUUUU